RNAcentral lists this ribosomal RNA (881 nucleotides) under Leskeella nervosa. RNAcentral's name for it is "eukaryotic LSU rRNA". It matches the Rfam family "Eukaryotic large subunit ribosomal RNA", at positions 156 to 1032 of the family's 3401-position model. Lineage: Eukaryota; Viridiplantae; Streptophyta; Bryopsida; Hypnales; Leskeaceae. The record is from RNAcentral.
AAGGUCCCUCUGCGACGCGCCGGACCCAAGUUCCCUGGAAAGGGACGUCAUCGAGGGUGACAACCCCGUCCGCGCCCGGAAUGCGUCGCUCCACGAGGACCUGUCUGCGAGUCGGGCUGUUUGGGAAUGCAGCCCUAAGUGGGAGGUAAAUUCCUUCCAAGGCUAAAUAUGGGCAAGAGACCGAUAGCGAACAAGUACCGCGAGGGAAAGAUGAAAAGGACUUUGAAAAGAGAGUUAAAAAGUGCUUGAAAUUGCUGGGAGGGAAGCGAAUGGAAGCUGCGGGUGCGCCCCGGUUGGAUGUGGAACGGCUUCGGCUGGUCCGCCGCUCAACGCGGGGCGCUGGUCAGCGUGGGCCACGGCGCCGGGACAAGAGCAGGGAUUCGCUUCCUGCCUAUGCCGGUGCGGUGGCCGAGGAACGAAGCAUGCGCCUUCUGGCGUGGGUUCGCCCAACUGCAUGCUCGGGACGCUGGCGUAUUGAGCUCUUCAUCCGACCCGUCUUGAAACACGGACCAAGGAGUCUAACAUGUAUGCGAGCCGGUGGGCGGCAAACCCAUUGAGGCGCAAGUAAACUGACAGGUGGGACCCCGACCGUGAGGGAGGGAGCACCAUCGACCGACCGUGAUCUUCUGUGAAAGGUUUGAGUGUGAGCAUACCUGUUGGGACCCGAAAGAUGGUGAACUAUGCCUGAGCAGGGCGAAGCCAGAGGAAACUCUGGUGGAGGCUCGUAGCGAUACUGACGUGCAAAUCGUUCGUCAGACUUGGGUAUAGGGGCGAAAGACUAAUCGAACCAUCUAGUAGCUGGUUCCCUCCGAAGUUUCCCUCAGGAUAGCUGGAGCUCGUGUACAAGUUUUAUCAGGUAAAGCGAAUGAUUAGAGGCAUCG